UGGGGAAUAUUGCACAAUGGGGGAAACCCUGAUGCAGCGACGCCGCGUGAGUGAAGAAGUAUCUCGGUAUGUAAACUUCUAUCAGCAGGGAAGAAAAUGACGGUACCUGACUAAGAAGCCCCGGCUAACUACGUGCCAGCAGCCGCGGUAAUACGUAGGGGGCAAGCGUUAUCCGGAUUUACUGGGUGUAAAGGGAGCGUAGACGGCUGUGCAAGUCUGAAGUGAAAGCCCGGGGCUCAACCCCGGGACUGCUUUGGAAACUGUGUAGCUUGAGUGCUGGAGAGGUAAGUGGAAUUCCUAGUGUAGCGGUGAAAUGCGUAGAUAUUAGGAGGAACACCAGUGGCGAAGGCGGCUUACUGGACAGUAACUGACGUUGAGGCUCGAAAGCGUGGGGAGCAAACAGGAUUAGAUACCC
RNAcentral lists this ribosomal RNA (415 nucleotides) under uncultured bacterium. RNAcentral's name for it is "bacterial SSU rRNA". It matches the Rfam family "Bacterial small subunit ribosomal RNA", at positions 355 to 787 of the family's 1533-position model. The record is from RNAcentral.